UCAUUCUGGUUUUUACAUACUAUGUUUUGUAUGGUAUUGUGAAUACUGACAAUACCAUACAAAACAUAGUAUAUAAAAACCAGAAUG
This is a non-coding RNA of Podarcis lilfordi (Lilford's wall lizard), 87 nucleotides long. NCBI's taxonomy places the organism in Eukaryota, Metazoa, Chordata, Lepidosauria, Squamata, Lacertidae. The record is from the annotation of a GenBank genome assembly.